RNAcentral lists this ribosomal RNA (393 nucleotides) under uncultured bacterium. RNAcentral's name for it is "partial 16S ribosomal RNA". It matches the Rfam family "Bacterial small subunit ribosomal RNA", at positions 523 to 918 of the family's 1533-position model. The record is from RNAcentral.
AUACGGGGGAUUCAAGCGUUAUCCGGACUUAUUGGGUUUAAAGGGUGCGUAGGCGGGAGGUUAAGUCGGUGGUGAAAUUUUGCAGCUCAACUGUAAAAGUGCCAUUGAUACUGGUUUCCUUGAGUGUGGAUGAAGUAGGCGGAAUUUGUGGUGUAGCGGUGAAAUGCAUAGAUAUCACGAGGAACUCCGAUUGCGCAGGCAGCUUACUAAACUACUACUUACGCUCAGGCACGAAGGCGUGGGGAUCAAACAGGAUUAGAUACCCUGGUAGUCCACGCAGUAAACGAUGAUUACUAGCUGUUUGCGAUACAAUGUAAGCGGCUGAGCGAAAGCGUUAAGUAAUCCACCUGGGGAGUACGGUCGCAAGAAUGAAACUCAAAGGAAUUGGCGGGG